GACGAACGCUGGCGGCGUGCUUAACACAUGCAAGUCGAACGGAAAGGCCCUGCUUUUGUGGGGUGCUCGAGUGGCGAACGGGUGAGUAACACGUGAGUAACCUGCCCUUGACUUUGGGAUAACUUCAGGAAACUGGGGCUAAUACCGGAUAGGAGCUCCUGCUGCAUGGUGGGGGUUGGAAAGUUUCGGCGGUUGGGGAUGGACUCGCGGCUUAUCAGCUUGUUGGUGGGGUAGUGGCUUACCAAGGCUUUGACGGGUAGCCGGCCUGAGAGGGUGACCGGCCACAUCGGGACGGAGAUACGGCCCAGACUCCUACGGGAGGCAGCAGUGGGGAAUAGUGUACAAUGGGCGGAAGCCUGAUGCAGCAAAGCCGCGUGGGGGAUGACGGCCUUCGCGUUGUAAACCGCUGUCGCCUGUGACGAAGCGUGAGUGACGGUAAUGGGUAAAGAAGCACCGGCUAACUACGUG
This 468-nucleotide ribosomal RNA is filed under the name uncultured bacterium. Its description in RNAcentral is "partial 16S ribosomal RNA". It matches the Rfam family "Bacterial small subunit ribosomal RNA", at positions 28 to 507 of the family's 1533-position model. The record is from RNAcentral.